This is a long non-coding RNA of Sparus aurata (gilthead seabream), 2924 nucleotides long. The record is from Ensembl. Lineage: Eukaryota; Metazoa; Chordata; Actinopteri; Spariformes; Sparidae.
AUGCGCUCCCAUGCCCGUUCCUCCUUCAACCCUCUUCCGUCUCCGUGCUUGUUUUCUCCUCCAGGGCGUUGCACUCCGUCCAUCAGGGAGCUGCGGGUUUCUGUGGGCCUGCGCCUCCUGUUGCCAUGUGUCCAGCUGUCUCCCAGGCCCUGUAGCUGGGAGCACCCUCCCCACAGACACACCAGGCAGCACCACUCCGACCUGGAGGUGACUGUCACAGAGGAAAACCUCGGAAAAUACGUCUGCACAUGCCAGGAGGCGGGACCAGGUAUCAGAGACCCCACUCCCUGCCGCAGAGCAGCCUAUCAGCUGACACUAGGAGGCCCCACAGCUGGAGGAACGGUGGCGACAGCAGGAGGUCGUCACGUCCUGGCCGUCUACAUCCUUUUCUUCUGCGGUGGUUUGUUGCUGGGCAUGUUUCUCCUCUACUUUGUGACCCGUCGGCGUAGCCUCAGUCGCCAGGGCCACCACCUGCCGGAUAAUUCGCUGUCAUCAGAGAAGGGGCGGGACUUGCUGGGCUCCUCGGCCACGCCGCAGUCUCCCAGCAGUGCAAGCCUGCUGUCUGAGGGAUUCAGAUUGACGGAAAAACGCAACGGGACGGCAACCUCAACCACGUCCACAACGCUCCUCAGCAGCCAGGGUAAUGGUGGUCACCAUGGCAACAGCUACAGCGGCACCCUGAUCCACAGCAACCCCAGCAACGGCCAUGGGAAUUCCCUGUAUUCCAACUGCAACACAAGUAGCAGCGGGCUGAAGUUCGCCUCCGAAAUAUUAGCUGCGGACAUGCUGGAUGGAAGGACGGGGGAGAUGGAGAGGGAGAGGGGGAGGUCCGAUGGGCUGGAGAGGGAGUCGGGGGUUGGGGACGAGGUGGAUGAGGGGCUGGGGGACGGGGUAGGGGAGGGGAUGAAAGGACUAGAGGAGGAGUUGGCCAGCUUUCCCAUGUUUAAGUCACCCGCACCGUUAGCUAAGUGUGAAGAAAGUUCGAUAUGAGGAGCCGAUAUGAACGUUCUGACGAUUACACCAUUUGGCAUCCUCCAAAAACUGAAUGCUACUAGGGGGUGGGGGGAUGCAAAAUGGCUACUGCCAAAUGCCUUUGGAUGGGAGCUGUGGCAGCAUGAAGAGAGACUCCAGAGAUAUAUGAGAAAUAUAUGAUGAGUUUAUGUCGAAGCGCUGAGAGAGAGAGAGACGAGGGGAAAAAAAAGACAGAAAACUUGUUCCAGUGUUGCCACUCAGGAUGAGAACCACAGCUAAAUAAAUGUUUCAGAUGUAAAUAUAAACUGUAAAUAGAAGCAGUCCGGAGUCGACUGUGGAUGUGAAGCUCAGCGUUAUAUCACGCUUUUUAAAUGUCGCAAAGAAUCAAAGAUGAAAUGUCUACGCGUGUGGACAUGGAAAAGCCAUAUUGUCUUUCUCCUUAACUCCUGUUGUUGUUGCAUUCUCUCCUCCUGAUGGCACUGCAAAAGAAAAAGUGCACUUUGAAUCUGUCAGCACCUCUCUGUCGCUCUGUUUCUGUUUCUCUCUUUGACACACCACUCAAAUCCCAGACCUUGAAGGGUCCAAAGGCACCAAAGGACUGCUGAGCCAUAGACUAACAAGUCAGACUGCACCGGUCCUGUCAGAGACUAAGGAACCAUGAAUUCACUGCGGAGCCUUCAGAUGGGCUACAGCGACCGUGACGGGGCUGUCCCCGCCUGCGCUGCCGCAGAGGUCAGGAGGAUGAUAGGGUUGGUUGUCACCUACCAGGCAUGCGUCAGUGUGGAGAGCUGGAGACGCACAGCAGGUGUGAGUCACUGACAGCUGCGGAUCCAUCAGUGUUCACGGGCAGACGGUUUUCAAAAGGAACUCAAAACUCAUUUCGGCCUCACAGAAUAGACUUUGUCGGACACAAAGCCACUAUCACCUUUGUUUUGUUUUGUGGAUUUCAACAUAAAAGUGUAUUGUUUUGUCAUGUUGUUUUUGUAAUAAAGCCUUUAAAAAAGGUGCUGUUAACCUGGUGUCAUUGGUUUAUGGAUGCGCGACAGUUCAAAGAAGUUGUUUCGUUUAUCUUCCCAGAAAUAGACCAUGCCCUACGUCAACUCUGCAAGGAUGUGAUAGAAAUUGGCUGUGGUUAUUACUGAUUUCUAACUAAAAUGGAAAGAGACUCCAUGUGUGUCUAUGUACGUAUGUACUUUGAGUUUCUUGGCAUUGAUUCAUCUGAUCAACUCCACAUGUGGUGAUUUGGCUAAUAGAAAGAAAAAGCUGGAUGUGGGAUUUACAAUUCAGAGAGAAAGGUGACUGGGUCCACUAUUGUGCAUAAAUGCAGAGCUUUUGAGGAAGCCAUCUAGGCUAGCUUACAGGCUAACCUCGCUAGUUGAAAACACCUACAUUAUCUAUUUUAAAACACUACAAAAUAUUUAACAAUAUAUACAAAGCAAACUGUUAAAAGAUAAUUAUUUUAACUAACUUAUGGUGAAGAAACACUUACACUACCAAAUGGCAUCCCGGGUAGGCCUAGAACUCGCCCUCGGCCGCUCGCUAAUGUUCAGUGAAGAGCAGAUGAGGAGAGUCUAGAGAUGUUGCACAGCAGCAAGUUCUUUAAAGUUUGCCAAUAUGUUUCGCUAAACUCAAACAUUUCAAACAUCAGGGAUGGAACUUUGAAAUGAAUGAGAAAUAGCCUGAGCCUAAAUAGCUAGCUGUUCUAAAUUCAGCUACAGGUUAGCUUAGCUUAAAGGGAUAGUUCGGGUUUUUUGAUAUGAAUCUGUAUGGCAUCCCUGUCAGCGGUGUCGUGCAUCAACACUGACUUACCCUCGACAGUGUCCUGUGCGCCGAGUUCUUGCCCGGUUUUGGUGCUGACGAAAGUAGUCCGGCAAGUUGUCUGGGGUCAUGAAAAUAAAGCCUUUUUCUUCUCAAACAAAAAAUGAAAACAAACAAACAAAUGUGUUCAAAAG